This 371-nucleotide ribosomal RNA is filed under the name uncultured bacterium. RNAcentral describes it as "bacterial SSU rRNA". It matches the Rfam family "Bacterial small subunit ribosomal RNA", at positions 527 to 896 of the family's 1533-position model. The record is from RNAcentral.
GUAGGAGGCAAGCGUUAUCCGGAUUCACUGGGCGUAAAGCGCGUGCAGGCGGUUCGGUAAGUUGGGCGUGAAAUCUCCUGGCUUAACUGGGAGAGGCCGUCCAAUACUACCGGACUAGAGAGCAGUAGAGGAAGAUGGAAUUCCCGGUGUAGUGGUGAAAUGCGUGGAUAUCGGGAGGAACACCAGAGGCGAAGGCGAUCUUCUGGACUGUUUCUGACGCUCAGACGCGAAAGCUAGGGUAGUAAACGGGAUUAGAGACCCCGGUAAUCCUAGCCGUAAACGAUGUGAACUUGGCGUCGGUGGCUUAAACUCCAUCGGUGCCGAAGCAAACGCGAUAAGUUCACCGCCUGGGGACUACGAUUGCAAGAUUA